UUGGGUUUCCUUGGAUUCGUUCGAGUGAGAUGAACGGCGUCGAUGGCAUCGUGCAAUCUGGGAUGGAGGAGUGACAGUGGCGUCCAUGCGCGAUGGUGUAGCGUCGGAAUGGGAGCGGCGAGAGCGAGGGAUGGAGUUGGAAGGGCCGUUCGAUCCGCUCGUCGUGCCCCAGGGCCCCGGCAUGUCUGAUGUUUGUUGAAGCCGGGCUCUUGUCGCUUGAGGGGUAAGAGAUGAGCCUUGGAUUGAAGCUUUUUCCGUCAUCUUCUACGGAGAACAGGUAUCUCUGUUGAAGCUUGGGAUGCUUAGAUGCCUGCAAUUACUGCUGAUGGUCACAAUUCAUUAUGGGAGAUCCAUACUUGUGGUCUUGUCAAUGGACAGCAUGGAUGGAUGGGAUGAGCGAAAUGUUUUCUUGUUUCUUUAACUCUGCUUAGUUUAGCUUCUACCAAUCAUGUAGUCAAUUAUUAGAUUUUUUUUCUUUUAAUCCAUUGUCACUACUUGUGGGACCUUGGAGAUGAAGAUUAGCUCCAUGUUGGUUCUUUAGCCUUCUCAUGGUCAACUGUAAGCUUUUUGUCAACUCAAUGUCGGUUGGUGAAGGAUUUGGUUAUGAUGAUUAUGAUGAGAAAAGAUUUACCUCAAACUUUGUAAACUGCAAACUACUGAU
Musa acuminata AAA Group (dessert banana) is the source of this 661-nucleotide long non-coding RNA. RefSeq lists it as uncharacterized. Lineage: Eukaryota; Viridiplantae; Streptophyta; Magnoliopsida; Zingiberales; Musaceae. The transcript is spliced from 3 exons. The record is from RefSeq and is a predicted model, not a curated record.